AUUGAACGCUGGCGGCAGGCUUAACACAUGCAAGUCGAACGGUAAUAGGGUGCUUGCACCGCUGACGAGUGGCGAACGGGUGAGUAAUGCGUCGGAACGUGCCGAGUAGUGGGGGAUAACGCAGCGAAAGUUGUGCUAAUACCGCAUACGUACUGAGGUAGAAAGUGGGGGGCCUUCGGGCCUCACGCUAUUCGAGCGGCCGACGUCUGAUUAGCUAGUAGGUGAGGUAAAGGCUCACCUGGGCGACGAUCAGUAGCGGGUCUGAGAGGAUGAUCCGCCACACUGGGACUGAGACGCGGCCCAGACUCCUACGGGAGGCAGCAGUGGGGAAUUUUGGACAAUGGGCGAAAGCCUGAUCCAGCCAUGGCGCGUGUCUGAAGAAGGCCUUCGGGUUGUAAAGGACUUUUGUCAGGGAGGAAAUCCCUAGUGCUAAUAACACUGGGGGAUGACAGUACCUGAAGAAUAAGCACCGGCUAACUACGUGCCAGCCGCCGCCGUAA
Molecule: ribosomal RNA, 500 nt
Filed under: uncultured bacterium
Lineage: Bacteria
Description: partial 16S ribosomal RNA
Rfam family: Bacterial small subunit ribosomal RNA
Source: RNAcentral